UGUUAUUUAAAGAAAAUAGUUUUUUCAUUUUUUAUGGUAUUUGGCACAGGGAAUUAGUUGGAAGAUUGCAAUAACUUGGCAUGUGGAUCGUUGUGAUAGCGACUUUGGGGGAUAGAGAUAGGAGUUUAAGGCGGAUUUUAUCUAAAAAAAUAUGGAUGCUUUGCAAUUUCCAAAAAUGUGAGACUGUAUUCUUCAAGAGCAAAAAAAUUAAAAAUUCAUUAAAAAUUAAAAAUAAAAGGUUCUCUCCAUGCACCUCGUUAGGAUGCACCAUUUCUGAGAUAAUCAAUUAAUAUGUUUCAGAAUUACCUUACCU
This 313-nucleotide long non-coding RNA is filed under the name Androctonus crassicauda. The record is from RNAcentral. Lineage: Eukaryota; Metazoa; Arthropoda; Arachnida; Scorpiones; Buthidae.